GGAAUGAUGGGAAUUUAAACCUCUUCCAGAGUAUCAAUUGGAGGGCAAGUCUGGUGCCAGCAGCCGCGGUAAUUCCAGCUCCAAUAGCGUAUAUUAAAAUUGUUGCAGUUAAAAAGCUCGUAGUUGAAUUUCUGCUGCAUUGCUUGUGUCCCUCUGGGGUCUGUGCAUGUGGCUUUUUUCGGACGGAGUUUCUUUGUCUGAAUGUUUACUUUGAGAAAAUUAGAGUGCUCAAAGCAGGCUUUCGCCUUGAAUAGUUUAGCAUGGAAUAAUAAAGUAGGACUUUGGUUCUAUUUUGUUGGUUUUAGGUACCAAAGUAAUGGUUAAUAGGAACAGUUGGGGGCAUUCGUAUUUAACUGUCAGAGGUGAAAUUCUUAGAUUUGUUAAAGACGAACUACUGCGAAAGCAUUUGCCAAGGAUGUUUUCAUUAAUCAAGAACGAAAGUUAGGGGAUCGAAGACGAUCAGAUACCGUCGUAGUCCU
RNAcentral lists this ribosomal RNA (479 nucleotides) under Theileria annulata. RNAcentral's name for it is "SSU rRNA". It matches the Rfam family "Eukaryotic small subunit ribosomal RNA", at positions 511 to 1027 of the family's 1831-position model. The record is from RNAcentral. RNAcentral also lists the same sequence under 1 other name. Lineage: Eukaryota; Apicomplexa; Aconoidasida; Piroplasmida; Theileriidae.